RNAcentral lists this ribosomal RNA (253 nucleotides) under uncultured bacterium. RNAcentral's name for it is "partial 16S ribosomal RNA". It matches the Rfam family "Bacterial small subunit ribosomal RNA", at positions 524 to 776 of the family's 1533-position model. The record is from RNAcentral.
UACGUAGGGUGCGAGCGUUAAUCGGAAUUACUGGGCGUAAAGCGUGCGCAGGCGGUUCGUUAAGUCAGAUGUGAAAGCCCCGGGCUCAACCUGGGAACUGCAUUUGAAACUGGCGGGCUUGAGUGCGGCAGAGGGGGGUGGAAUUCCGCGUGUAGCAGUGAAAUGCGUAGAGAUGCGGAGGAACACCGAUGGCGAAGGCAGCCCCCUGGGCCGACACUGACGCUCAGGCACGAAAGCGUGGGGAGCGAACAGG